GCCUGGGUGGCUCAGUCGGUUAAGCGUCCGACUUCAGCUCAGGUCACGAUCUCGCGGUUUGUGGGUUCGAGCCCCACGUCGGGCU
RNAcentral lists this transfer RNA (85 nucleotides) under Felis catus (domestic cat). It matches the Rfam family "tRNA". From Rfam's summary of the family: Transfer RNA (tRNA) molecules are approximately 80 nucleotides in length. Their secondary structure includes four short double-helical elements and three loops (D, anti-codon, and T loops). Further hydrogen bonds mediate the characteristic L-shaped molecular structure. tRNAs have two regions of fundamental functional importance: the anti-codon, which is responsible for specific mRNA codon recognition, and the 3' end, to which the tRNAs corresponding amino acid is attached (by aminoacyl-tRNA synthetases). tRNAs cope with the degeneracy of the genetic code in two manners: having more than one tRNA (with a specific anti-codon) for a particular amino acid; and 'wobble' base-pairing, i.e. permitting non-standard base-pairing at the 3rd anti-codon position. The record is from Rfam by way of RNAcentral. Lineage: Eukaryota; Metazoa; Chordata; Mammalia; Carnivora; Felidae.